This 440-nucleotide ribosomal RNA is filed under the name uncultured bacterium. Its description in RNAcentral is "partial 16S ribosomal RNA". It matches the Rfam family "Bacterial small subunit ribosomal RNA", at positions 338 to 795 of the family's 1533-position model. The record is from RNAcentral.
CCUACGGGAGGCAGCAGUGGGGAAUAUUGCACAAUGGGGGAAACCCUGAUGCAGCGACGCCGCGUGAGUGAUGAAGUAAUUCGUUAUGUAAAGCUCUAUCAGCAGGGAAGAAAAUGACGGUACCUGAGUAAGAAGCCCCGGCUAACUACGUGCCAGCAGCCGCGGUAAUACGUAGGGGGCAAGCGUUAUCCGGAUUUACUGGGUGUAAAGGGAGCGUAGACGGCAAUGCAAGUCUGGAGUGAAAGGCGGGGGCGCAACCCCCGGACUGCUCUGGAAACUGUACGGCUGGAGUGCAGGAGAGGUAAGUGGAAUUCCUAGUGUAGCGGUGAAAUGCGUAGAUAUUAGGAAGAACACCAGUGGCGAAGGCAGCUUACUGGACUGUAACUGACGUUGAGGCUCGAAAGCGUGGGGAGCAAACAGGAUUAGAUACCCCGGUAGUC